UGUGUGACCAAUGCCACCUGGUGAGGCUGCGCCCAGGUGCCGAGGUCCCCACAUGCAGCGCCACUGCUGUCCCAGGUGUCUGGGUCGGGCCAUUUUGAGAGUCAUCUCCAAGCGUCUUGGACAGGUUACCAUAUCUGAUCCUGAAACAGCUUGCUAUAUUUUUGGAGCCCUGUAAGCAGCUUUUAAUCCUUUCUGGAAUCAUAAGUGUCAACCAGGAAGUGCAGGGCGAGAACCAGGGGUGAAGUAAUGGGGCCUGAGACACGCAGGUGGAACCAGAACAGGACGUCUAGAAACACUGGGGCUGUGCGCUGCAGGGAGAAGCCAGGUGUGCUGGCAGCAGCUCAGACCACGGCAAACUGAGUGCUGGAAGUCAACACGGCCUCACUCUGUUUUCCCUGAGAGCCCCGAGUUCCCUGCUCUUCUCCUUCCUUUCCCCAUGGAUUCGUCAGGUCAGCCUCCCUGAAGGAGAAGAGCCACAGAUGGAAGGUGAGCCUGCUGCCGGCUGCUGUCACUGCUGUGGAAGUGGUGACUCUCCCUCCGCGUUGUGGAGGCCUACGCCGGUGAGACCUCCAGAGUGCCGGGCAAAUCCUCACUCUCUGAGACCACUCCUUGCAUCCCCUACCCCUGGCUCCAGCUAACUGCACUUAAGCUGAGCUGUUAAAAACCUUGCCAAAAUAACAGCGCCACCCCGGUUAGUAGAAUGACUGCACUGGGUAUCAGCUAAGGAGUUAAAUCUAAAUCCUCAAUUCAAGCUUGUCAUAUCAGUUGAUCUUACUCAGGACAUGUGUCUCAGGCUCCUGGGUCUAAGUCCAGCUUAGGGGUAGGGGAGGAGGAAAAUGCCCAGGAAGCUCGGCCUCCCCCAACCACAGCACGUUGCAGGGGUUGGCAGCUCGAUGGGGCCUUGCCAGGUUCAGAGGCAUUGCUGGCAGUCCUGGGAAUAACUGAUGAAAUGUUGACCCGAGACUGAGCACUUGAAAAUAAAUUCCUGCACCCCGGCCCCAAGGGAGUCUCAGGAAAUGUCAGGAACUGGGAGAGGAAUGCACGUUUCUGGGUGCUAAGGCACAUUUGGGGCAGAACCAGAGAGAGACCAAAAGAGAACCUAGAAGCUGGCAGUCUUAAUGACUGAUUGUCUUUCUGUCAUUUUUUCAAUUCUGAAAAAUGGCAAUUGUAAAUUCUACAAGCCAGAACACGCCACUCGCCCAGAACAUCUUUUCCGAGUUGCCCUGGGGAGUGUUGUAUGGCCGGUGCUGCAGGAGUGAAGGACACAUGGUCCUUAGGUCACCGCUCUGAGGACAGAGCAGAAGCUCAGCCCUCCCAGCUGCGCUUCUCGCUGUGCGCUUCCUGGGAGGCCUCAGCAGCAGAUUGCCACUGGGCAGGUGUAGCCACAUCUGCACGUAUCGGCUCCUCCAGCCUUCCUGACUUUGUAACAAGCAUCGCCAACAGACCACAGGAAAGUAUUCCUUCCAGAAUUCCUGAAUGCCAGGCGUAUGCAUUCAACUGCCUACCGAACUCCUCCACUUAAAUAUCUAGUGGACAUCACAGAGUUAACAUGCCCCAAA
Molecule: long non-coding RNA, 1559 nt
Organism: Phyllostomus hastatus (greater spear-nosed bat)
Lineage: Eukaryota; Metazoa; Chordata; Mammalia; Chiroptera; Phyllostomidae
Exons: 4
Source: RefSeq, a predicted model, not a curated record